GAAAAUUGUAAAUCUACCAUCUCUGAUUGCACACCAGACUGCUGCUCACGGACAGAAGAGAUGGACUUCAACCAUCAAUAGCCAGUGUCCUGUCAAGCGCCUUUGGAGGGGAGGCGGUAUCACAUCACCAAGGAGCAGCUUGAGUUCCUCAUAGAUUGUCAUAUGACCAUCAGACAAAUGGCAGAUGUUCUCAAUGAGUCGCACUCUGUGGUCAAGUUGCGCAUGAGGUGUAGGAUUGUUAUCCAUGGUGCUGUGGAUGGUUACAGCAGACUUGUGUUUCUGAAGGCCUCUGACAACAACAGGACCGCCACAGUCAUAGAGUCAUUCGAAGCAGCCAUCACCAGCUACGGAGUACCAUCCCAGGUGAGAUGUGACCGGGUGGUGAAAACAACCGCAUCUGUGCCUUCAUGGAGCAG
Molecule: long non-coding RNA, 416 nt
Organism: Salvelinus namaycush (lake trout)
Lineage: Eukaryota; Metazoa; Chordata; Actinopteri; Salmoniformes; Salmonidae
Exons: 3
Source: RefSeq, a predicted model, not a curated record